GAUGAAGAACGUAGCGAAAUGCGAUACGUAACGUGAAUUGCAGAAUUCAGUGAAUCAUCGAAUCUUUGAACGCAUAUUGCGCUCUCUGGUAUUCCGGAGAGCAUGCUUGUUUGAGUAUCAGUAAACACCUCAACUUCCAUAUCUUUUUUGAAAUGGGAGUUGGACUUGAGUGAUCCCAACGCUUUUCCUCACCGAAAAGUGGCGGGUUACUUGAAAUGCAGGUGCAGCUGGACUUUUCUCUGAGCUAUAAGCAUAUCUAUUUAGUCUGCCUAAAAACAGAUUAUUACCUUUGCUGCAGCUAACAUAAAGGAGAUUAGUUCUUGUGCUGACUGAUGCAGGAUUCACAAAGACAGGCUUCGGCCGACUUUGUAAACUCGAUCUCAAAUCAAGUAAGACUACCCGCUGAACUUAAGCAUAUCAAUAAGCGGAGGA
Molecule: unclassified non-coding RNA, 432 nt
Filed under: soil metagenome
Description: partial contains 5.8S ribosomal RNA, internal transcribed spacer 2, and large subunit ribosomal RNA
Rfam family: 5.8S ribosomal RNA (bases 1-120)
Source: RNAcentral